GUCAGCCUCAAAAGUAGAUGCUGAGGUCAAAGAGGAGGGGCAGGCAGAGCUUUGAGCUCCUGAGGUCUGGAGCCCCUGGUGGGGGGCCAUCCUGGGUCUCAUCUACACCCCAGUGAGCAGGGGACAUCCAGCAGCCCUCUGAGUGCUGCUCCCAGAGCAGCUCAGGAGGAGGGUGGCUUUAGAGCCUGCAUUCCUGGCCUCCACCAAAUCUCAGGCGGCCACCGCACCCCUAGCCUGAGCUGGCGUGCUCGCCUGUGCUCUGGCAGGUGCCCUGGGAAGACCUCGAGCUGAGAAGUCUCUGACAUGCGGCCUUGCCAGGCUCAGCUUGCGGACUAGAGGAAAUUGGAGCGCGAGGUCGUGGUGCAGUGACCCUCGCCGGCCACCGGGAGGCAAGCGGGGCGGGGCCCU
RNAcentral lists this long non-coding RNA (408 nucleotides) under Cavia porcellus (domestic guinea pig). Its description in RNAcentral is "lncRNA (ENSCPOG00000032775.1)". The record is from RNAcentral. Lineage: Eukaryota; Metazoa; Chordata; Mammalia; Rodentia; Caviidae.